RNAcentral lists this unclassified non-coding RNA (345 nucleotides) under Pyricularia sp. CBS 151.34. RNAcentral describes it as "sequence contains 18S rRNA gene, ITS1, 5.8S rRNA gene and ITS2". The stretch from base 144 to 297 matches the Rfam family "5.8S ribosomal RNA". Lineage: Eukaryota; Fungi; Ascomycota; Sordariomycetes; Magnaporthales; Pyriculariaceae. The record is from RNAcentral.
GGAUCAUUACAGAGUUGCAAAACUCCAACCCUUUGUGAACCACAACCUCCAGUCGUUGCUUCGGCGGGCCCGCCCGCCGGAGGUUCAAACAAACUCACGUUUUCCGAGUACGUCUUCUGAGCAAACAAGAAAAAAUAAAUCAAAACUUUCAACAACGGAUCUCUUGGCUCUGGCAUCGAUGAAGAACGCAGCGAAAUGCGAUAAGUAAUGUGAAUUGCAGAAUUCAGUGAAUCAUCGAAUCUUUGAACGCACAUUGCGCCCGCCGGUAUUCCGGCGGGCAUGCCUGUCCGAGCGUCAUUUCAACCCUCAAGCCCACUCCGGCUUGGUGUUGGGGCGCCCGGGGCU